UACGUAGGGUGCGAGCGUUAAUCGGAAUUACUGGGCGUAAAGGGUGCGCAGGCGGCCGAGCAAGUCGAGUGUGAAAGCCCCGAGCUUAACUUGGGAACUGCGCUCGAAACUACCUGGCUAGAGUGUGGCAGAGGGAGGUGGAAUUCCACGUGUAGCGGUGAAAUGCGUAGAGAUGUGGAGGAACACCGAUGGCGAAGGCAGCCUCCUGGGCCAACACUGACGCUCAUGCACGAAAGCGUGGGGAGCAAACAGG
This 253-nucleotide ribosomal RNA is filed under the name uncultured bacterium. Its description in RNAcentral is "partial 16S ribosomal RNA". It matches the Rfam family "Bacterial small subunit ribosomal RNA", at positions 524 to 776 of the family's 1533-position model. The record is from RNAcentral.